UGAGCAGACCAGUGGGAGGGCCACGUGGGAGGAAACCGAGGCCACAGCUGUGUUUAAGGCUUUAGAAAGGAUCCUCUACCCCAUCAGGACCCUCAGAAGACAGCGGCCCUGGUGACACCUUGGCUGCAGCCUCAGUGACCUGUCACCUAACAAAGUCCUUCCUCCAUUCAUGACCCUCAGAAACUGACACCACAUUUGAGUGUUUUAAGCUGCUAAAUUUACUGGUAUUUUGCUGUGUAACAAUGGAUCACUAAUCCAAGUACCUCGCAUAAGCAUCACGUCAAAGCCUGGGUCCUCUGUCUCCUGAUUGGCAGUUGUACCUGUUCAUGCACUUACACCUCCAAAAUGCACCAUGGCAAAUUCAAAUGCAGGACUUGCGUGGGUCAGCCGUCCUCAUCGAGUCUGCCUCGUGCAGGCAGCUUCCAGCUGUUCUCCGGGGUCUCUCUCCUCUCUCCACCUCUUAUCUCUACUGAACACGCACCUGGCCAAGUUCUCAUGAUUCACCUGUGAAGCCAUGCUGGCUCCUGUCCCUCUGCUCCGGCUCCUGCUGCUCCUCUCUCAGGUGGCUCUGUCACUGUUAUGUUAGCAGCUUUAUAGAUGCCUUGUGUGGCUGCAGCUCCAAUGGAAAAGCAGGAAUGAUGUGAAAGAAGGAUGGACCGUGAAAGGGAGAAGACCACUCCACUCAUGUGGUUCAGGCUCCAGGGGACCCCAUAACACUCAAUUCUAAUGACAUCAUCUGAGCAGCUUCCAGGGGACACUGAGCUCUGGCAUCUCAUCCCUACCUGUUGUACAAGAGUGCUCCCCUCAUUUCAAGCAAUUAAACCUGAUUCCUCUACCAUU
Long non-coding RNA from Octodon degus (degu), 840 nucleotides. RefSeq lists it as uncharacterized. The transcript has 2 exons. The record is from RefSeq and is a predicted model, not a curated record. Lineage: Eukaryota; Metazoa; Chordata; Mammalia; Rodentia; Octodontidae.